Molecule: ribosomal RNA, 494 nt
Filed under: uncultured bacterium
Lineage: Bacteria
Description: bacterial SSU rRNA
Rfam family: Bacterial small subunit ribosomal RNA
Source: RNAcentral
GGCUCAGGAUGAACGCUAGCGACAGGCUUAACACAUGCAAGUCGAGGGGCAGCGUGGUGUGGCAACACACUGACGGCGACCGGCGCACGGGUGAGUAACGCGUAUGCAACUUGCCUAUCAGAGGGGGAUAACCCGUCGAAAGACGGACUAAUACCGCAUGAAACAGGGGCCCCGCAUGGGGAUAUUUGUUAAAGAUACAUCGCUGAUAGAUAGGCAUGCGUUCCAUUAGGUAGUUGGCGGGGCGACGGCCCACCAAGCCGACGAUGGAUAGGGGUUCUGAGAGGAAGGUCCCCCACACUGGUACUGAGACACGGACCAGACUCCUACGGGAGGCAGCAGUGAGGAAUAUUGGUCAAUGGGCGAGAGCCUGAACCAGCCAAGUCGCGUGAGGGAUGACGGCCCUACGGGUUGUAAACCUCUUUUAUAAGGGAAUAAAGGGCAUCACGUGUGGUGUUUUGCAUGUACCUUAUGAAUAAGCAUCGGCUAACUCCGUG